AUGCUUACUCGCGCAAAGCAUGGUCUCUUUCAGCCCAUUGAUCGUAUGAAUCUUAUGGCUUCCGACUCCACCCUUUCUCCUCUUCCAAAAACAUACCGGGGUGCUCUCAAUGACCCACACUGGCGUCGUGCUAUGCACGAUGAGUUCGAGGCGCUUGUUACUAACCGGAUGUGGUCAUUAGUCCCACGGCCACCUCGUGCUCAUGUUGUUUCACGGAAGUGGAUUUUCAAUCAUAAGUUUCAUUCCGAUGGACGUCUUGCUCGCUAUAAAGCUCGGUGGGUGGUCCACGGCUAUUCUCAACACCCGGGCAUCGACUUUGAUGAGACAUUCAGCUUGGUUGUCAAACCAGCCACCAACCGGAUCGUUCUCAGCCUUGCGGUGUCC
This 384-nucleotide ribosomal RNA is filed under the name Triticum aestivum (bread wheat). RNAcentral describes it as "partial small subunit ribosomal RNA". Lineage: Eukaryota; Viridiplantae; Streptophyta; Magnoliopsida; Poales; Poaceae. The record is from RNAcentral.